RNAcentral lists this microRNA precursor (103 nucleotides) under Marmota monax (woodchuck). The record is from RNAcentral. Lineage: Eukaryota; Metazoa; Chordata; Mammalia; Rodentia; Sciuridae.
AGUGGGAUAGCUGGGUCAAAUAGUGGUUCCAUUCCAAGUUUUCCAAGGAGUGUCCACACUGCUUUCCAUAUUGGCUGCACCAAUUUGCAGUUCCACCAGCAAU